This 3044-nucleotide long non-coding RNA is filed under the name Lupinus angustifolius (narrow-leaved blue lupine). RNAcentral describes it as "long non-coding RNA (LANG_LNC000683)". The record is from RNAcentral. Lineage: Eukaryota; Viridiplantae; Streptophyta; Magnoliopsida; Fabales; Fabaceae.
AAUUUCUCACGAGCCUUAGAUAAUCAGAUUGUAAUUGUAGAAGCUAAUCUGCCACAAGAGAUGCACAGUGUCUCAACAGACCUUAAGCACUAGUUGAACUAGGAAUAUAAUCAAUUAGAUAAAUUCAGUUAGUAGGCAGAUGAGUCAGCAGGAAUGUAAAGAUCAGAUGUGAAUAUAUAUCCCGGUUCACUCCAACCCAGUGUUAAGUUCAGUCCCUAGCUUUACUAGGAGUUUUCCACUAUAAAUAAUACCAGAUUACAGACACGCGACACCUAAUUAAGGUGCUCAACAAGUAGUCUUGAACCCAUCCUCUUCAAACUAAUGACUAUUCUUUGGACCCAACCUCUCUAAGCUAAUUCACUCAGCAGAAUAAGGAUGAAAGGUGUAUGAGUUAAAGCUCAGAUACACUAUUUAGUGUUUACCAUGAGUAGCAAUGAUGUUCCUAUAUCAUGGUCAAAGGAUUUUACAAUGACUCAUCAAUAUAAUUGAAAGAAUGAUAGCUAGUGAGUUUCUUUUAAGCCGUGAGUAUAUUGUCCUGUCUCUCUUUCUGUAUGCUUAGUUUUCUUUCUUCCUUCUACAUGUAAUUUUUAUAGCCUUUAAUAUUUUGAUCGGUGGAGUGAACUAAUGAAGCAAACACAACAACAGCUUCAAAUCAGUCUUCAAGUACUCAUUGCAUUUGUUUUCAGUGUCACGACUUGGAUUUUUUAUCGCUAUUCUUAUCUGUAAUAAUAGUGAAAGCCUCUGAUCUCAAAUAGAUGUUCCAGUCAAUGCAGAGGGCUCUUCAGCAUUGUAGUUGAUAAUAAUAGAAUUUGCUAUUGCCGAGGUCAUGUUGAACACUUUCCUCUUUCAACUUCGGCAUAGGAAACUCUGUUCUGAUAAGCAUAUUUGAAUGAGAUUAGUCCUUGAUCAAAAUCAACACUCUUGAUCAGCUAGCUUACUUUUUCCUCAUGGUCCGCAAUAUGAUUGUUGAGGAUUGUAGAGUUGAUCCACCAGAUUGAUUCUUCAAUGUCCAUUAGUCUUUGUCUUCAGUUUGUUCAAGUGCAAAUGAGAGAUGCCUUUCUUCAGGUUGAGAGUUUCAGACACCCUUUAUCUUUGAACUUUUGCUUGAAUAAAUAUGUACAUGAAAUUAGUGCAUGAAGGGUUUGAUUGUGUUGACCUUUGAGCAUAUUAUCAUCCUUGAUUCAUUAGUUGCACUUGCAGAUGUUCUUCAGUUGACUCAUUGGUGUGGUUUCUUUCACAUGUGUUCUUAAAUCCAUGAAUAUGAGCUUGAUAUUCAAUAUAUUCUUCAGUGAUUGCAUUGCCACGAUUUUCUUUGGUGAGUGCACUUUGUAACUAGACUUCGAAUGCACUCUCCAUAAGACACAUUCCAUUUGUAAUUCAAUCUUGUUCUUCGACAAACACAAUGUUGAGCUUUCUUCGUGAUAUUCAUCUUCUGCAUGUAUGAUCGUUCAACCCAUAUUCUUGAAAAUUUGACUUUAGUCUUCUUCGAGUGAUAACAUAUGAGCUCCAGAAGACACACACUGGAUUCCUUUGGUUGAGACACACAUGUGAUCUUUUCUUAAGUCUCAUUUGUAACCUUCAAUUAUGCCCAGUCUUGUAGAAUAACUUACUUUUCAGCACACUCAUGUAACAUGUUAGUAAAACCUCACAUGUUUAUGAAAUCAUGAAGUGUGAUGUUUAUCAUCAAAACCAAAUGUGAUAGAUGCAUAGAGAUACAUCGAUUAUAACCGAUCAACAUCAAUCUUAGUUCUUAACAGGUACAUCCAUUAUUCCUGAGGUAGACCUCUUGCAAGGCCCUCUUGACCUCUGUCAAUGACCCCAUUUGAGAAGGUGGUGGUUACCUUUUUGAAUGAUGAAGAAGGUUGCAAAAAGGUUGGAAAUGCUUAAAAUAGGUGGGAACUGUAAGGAAGCAUUGUUGAAAAAUGCCUUGCACAAUUGUGGAUCUCACUGAAGAAGACAGAGAAGUGGAGGAAAAGGUAUAAAAGCCUUUGCAAAUUAAAGAUAGGAAUGGAAUAAUGUUCUUCCUUUUUAUCGCAGAAGGGUGGGAAAAACAUCUUACCAUGUGUCAUUCACUGUAAAAAUAGAUGGGAAUUUGCAUGCCUGACAAGAAAAAACUAUCCACUUUGGGUGUGCCAUGUGACCUGCUAGUCUGGUACUACUUCAUCGGUGCAUGAUCUCCACCAUGCACAUACGAAAAGUUACUGCACAUACUCAUCUCGAAGGAUCAUGUCUCAAAUUUCAUAAGGAUGGCAAUUUUAAGCACCCAUAAUUCCCUUGCCAAAACUGAACUUCAACAGUUUUAUUUCACAAGUGUUGAUCUGCUCUCGAGCACAACUUCAACCCUUGUCUCCAAUUGAUUCCAGGGUAGUUAUAACAUUGCCUGGCUUUCUUUUCAGGCAUAGCAUGUAGCAGGACGCACUAGCUUGGCACCAGUUACGAGGACAUUCGACAUAACACAAAUGCCUUAUCAUCCUAGAGACAAGUGUUCUUGAUUAGGCCAACAAUCUUAAUCCUUAUGGGGAUAAAUGGGUUAUGUCUGACUCAGCAUCCUUGGAAUUAGAAUAGGACCAACUUCCAUGGCUAAGAGACGCCCAACCACAUACAUGCCAUGUCAUGCCAGCUAGUACUAGGAGUUGUUCUCCUUGCCAAAGCACAAAUAGUUGUGAUUUGUCUUGUAUUUGUCCACUGCAGAAUCUGCUCCUCUAGCAUUGUCGAAUAGACUUCAAGGGACAGAUCAUAUGCAUCUCGGGGUCUAGUUAGACAAUCACAUUCUUGCGUAUAAAUAGAGAAGCACCUCCAAAGUGCAUGGGACUAUGGGUUAGUGUUCAUUUCUCUAUAUUCUUCCAUAGGCUUUUUAUAUAAACAUGACUGUAUAUCGAUGUGUAAAUACUGACUCGAUGCUUGGAGAGACCUAUUCAUGUAACCCAUGCGACGAAGGAUCGCAUUCAUGCUGCAACGACCUUGUGGACAACCUGCUCAAAUCCAAUACAAAUAUAUGUGGAAUUGUCUUUAUAGGUUGUUUGAGGUUUGUAGAUGCUCAGGGA